ACCAUGCACCGAAGCUGCGGCAGCGACACUAUGUGUUGUUGGGUAGGGGAGCGUUCUGUAAGCCGUCGAAGGUGUGCUGUGAGGCAUGCUGGAGGUAUCAGAAGUGCGAAUGCUGACAUAAGUAACGAUAAAGCGGGUGAAAAGCCCGCUCGCCGGAAGACCAAGGGUUCCUGUCCAACGUUAAUCGGGGCAGGGUGAGUCGACCCCUAAGGCGAGGCCGAAAGGCGUAGUCGAUGGGAAACAGGUUAAUAUUCCUGUACUUGGUGUUACUGCGAAGGGGGGACGGAGAAGGCUAUGUCAGCCGGGCGACGGUUGUCCCGGUUUAAGCAUGUAGGCGGAGGUUCCAGGUAAAUCCGGAACCUUGUUAACGCUGAGGUGUGAUGACGAGGCACUACGGUGCUGAAGCAACAAAUGCCCUGCUUCCAGGAAAAGCCUCUAAGCAUCAGGUAACAUCAAAUCGUACCCCAAACCGACACAGGUGGUCAGGUAGAGAAUACCAAGGCGCUUGAGAGAACUCGGGUGAAGGAACUAGGCAAAAUGGUGCCGUAACUUCGGGAGAAGGCACGCUGAUAUGUAGGUGAAGCCCCUGCGGGUGGAGCUGAAAUCAGUCGAAGAUACCAGCUGGCUGCAACUGUUUAUUAAAAACACAGCACUGUGCAAACACGAAAGUGGACGUAUACGGUGUGACGCCUGCCCGGUGCCGGAAGGUUAAUUGAUGGGGUUAGCGGCAACGCGAAGCUCUUGAUCGAAGCCCCGGUAAACGGCGGCCGUAACUAUAACGGUCCUAAGGUAGCGAAAUUCCUUGUCGGGUAAGUUCCGACCUGCACGAAUGGCGUAAUGAUGGCCAGGCUGUCUCCACCCGAGACUCAGUGAAAUUGAAAUCGCUGUGAAGAUGCAGUGUACCCGCGGCAAGACGGAAAGACCCCGUGAACCUUUACUAUAGCUUUGCACUGGACUUUGAAUUUGCUUGUGUAGGAUAGGUGGGAGGCUUUGAAGUGGGGACGCCAGUUCUCAUGGAGCCAUCCUUGAAAUACCACCCUGGCAACUUUGAGGUUCUAACUCAGGUCCGUUAUCCGGAUCGAGGACAGUGUAUGGUGGGUAGUUUGACUGGGGCGGUCUCCUCCCAAAGAGUAACGGAGGAGUACGAAGGUGCGCUCAGACCGGUCGGAAAUCGGUCGUAGAGUAUAAAGGCAAAAGCGCGCUUGACUGCGAGACACACACGUCGAGCAGGUACGAAAGUAGGUCUUAGUGAUCCGGUGGUUCUGUAUGGAAGGGCCAUCGCUCAACGGAUAAAAGGUACUCCGGGGAUAACAGGCUGAUACCGCCCAAGAGUUCAUAUCGACGGCGGUGUUUGGCACCUCGAUGUCGGCUCAUCACAUCCUGGGGCUGAAGUAGGUCCCAAGGGUAUGGCUGUUCGCCAUUUAAAGUGGUACGCGAGCUGGGUUUAGAACGUCGUGAGACAGUUCGGUCCCUAUCUGCCGUGGACGUUUGAGAUUUGAGAGGGGCUGCUCCUAGUACGAGAGGACCGGAGUGGACGAACCUCUGGUGUUCCGGUUGUCACGCCAGUGGCAUUGCCGGGUAGCUAUGUUCGGAAGAGAUAACCGCUGAAAGCAUCUAAGCGGGAAACUUGCCUCAAGAUGAGAUCUCACUGGGAUCUUGAAUCCCCUAAAGGGCCGUCGAAGACUACGACGUUGAUAGGUUGGGUGUGUAAGCGCUGUGAGGCGUUGAGCUAACCAAUACUAAUUGCCCGUGAGGCUUGACCAU
This 1764-nucleotide ribosomal RNA is filed under the name Clostridioides difficile. Its description in RNAcentral is "bacterial LSU rRNA". It matches the Rfam family "Bacterial large subunit ribosomal RNA", at positions 1186 to 2925 of the family's 2925-position model. Lineage: Bacteria; Bacillati; Bacillota; Clostridia; Peptostreptococcales; Peptostreptococcaceae. The record is from RNAcentral.